RNAcentral lists this ribosomal RNA (468 nucleotides) under uncultured beta proteobacterium. RNAcentral's name for it is "bacterial SSU rRNA". It matches the Rfam family "Bacterial small subunit ribosomal RNA", at positions 972 to 1440 of the family's 1533-position model. The record is from RNAcentral. Lineage: Bacteria; Pseudomonadati; Pseudomonadota; Betaproteobacteria.
UACCCACCUUUGACAUGUACGGAACUCGCCAGAGAUGGCUUGGUGCUCGAAAGAGAACCGUAACACAGGUGCUGCAUGGCUGUCGUCAGCUCGUGUCGUGAGAUGUUGGGUUAAGUCCCGCAACGAGCGCAACCCUUGUCAUUAGUUGCUACAUUUAGUUGGGCACUCUAAUGAGACUGCCGGUGACAAACCGGAGGAAGGUGGGGAUGACGUCAAGUCCUCAUGGCCCUUAUAGGUGGGGCUACACACGUCAUACAAUGGCUGGUACAAAGGGUUGCCAACCCGCGAGGGGGAGCUAAUCCCACAAAGCCAGUCGUAGUCCGGAUCGUAGUCUGCAACUCGACUACGUGAAGUCGGAAUCGCUAGUAAUCGUGGAUCAGAACGUCACGGUGAAUACGUUCCCGGGUCUUGUACACACCGCCCGUCACACCAUGGGAGCGGGUUCUGCCAGAAGUAGUUAGCCUAACC